GACGUAGGGUGCAAGCGUUGUUCGGAAUUACUGGGCGUAAAGCGCGUGUAGGCGGUUGUCCAAGUUGGAUGUGAAAGCCUUGAGCUUAACUCAAGAAAUGCAUUCAGGACUGGAUGACUAGAGGACCGGAGAGGAUAGUGGAAUUCCCAGUGUAGUGGUGAAAUACGUAGAGAUUGGGAAGAACACCAGUGGCGAAGGCGGCUAUCUGGACGGUUUCUGACGCUAAGACGCGAAAGCGUGGGGAGCAAACAGG
RNAcentral lists this ribosomal RNA (253 nucleotides) under uncultured bacterium. RNAcentral describes it as "partial 16S ribosomal RNA". It matches the Rfam family "Bacterial small subunit ribosomal RNA", at positions 524 to 776 of the family's 1533-position model. The record is from RNAcentral.